Molecule: long non-coding RNA, 196 nt
Organism: Nanorana parkeri
Lineage: Eukaryota; Metazoa; Chordata; Amphibia; Anura; Dicroglossidae
Exons: 3
Source: RefSeq, a predicted model, not a curated record
UUUUUAUAUGAAUGGGUGAAAGCCCGCAGCCAUGGAAAUCCGGUCUGCCUCUGGGGGCAUUCUCUGGGUACCGGUAUUGCCACUAAUGCAGCCAGGAAAUUGCAAGAAAAAGGGAAUCCAGCUGACGCUGUGAUCUUGGAGGGCCCGUAUACCAACAUCCGGGCUGCUGGAGCUUAUCACCCUUUCGUAAAGGUCU